This 243-nucleotide ribosomal RNA is filed under the name uncultured bacterium. Its description in RNAcentral is "partial small subunit ribosomal RNA". It matches the Rfam family "Bacterial small subunit ribosomal RNA", at positions 26 to 285 of the family's 1533-position model. The record is from RNAcentral.
AGAAUCAACGCUGGCGGCGUGCCUAACACAUGCAAGUCGAACGAGAAAGUGGAGCAAUCCAUGAGUAAAGUGGCGACCGGGUGAGUAACACGUGACUAACCUACCUUUGAGUGGGGGAUAACAUCGGGAAACCGAUGCUAAUACCGCAUAACAUCGCAAGAUCAAAGCAGCAAUGCGCUUAAAGAGGGGGUCGCGGCUGAUUAGCUAGUUGGCGGGGUAACGCCCACAAGGCGAAGAUCGGUA